AGAACAUGCACACACAUGCAGUUCAGGAGUUAUUGCAAAAUUGUUUCCCAGAAAAAUUGCUCCAAUUUACACUCUGAUCAUAAAAUUAGGGUUUUGAGAGAUUUAUUUGUGUUGAGUUAGUUCCAAGUGUUCUUGAAAAUGAGGGCUGGGGGAAGCUGACUUGGGAGAUUUGGGUCCUCUUCCAUAUGUGCAUGUGUCUUUGAUGGUCAUUAAUGAGAAGAAAAAGAUGCAUGAUUUUUUGUACUCCUAGUUCACAGAACUGAUGGUAUUGGUUAUACACACAGGGGAGUGCCAUAAAUUAUUUAUGUUUAAAAAACAUUGUGGUUUCAUGUAUAUGGAAUAAUCUUAAGAUUGUGAGUAGGGAAAGCAAUAAAGGUUAUUUGGAGUAACGUGGUAGCAAUGGAGAUAUUGAAAAAAUAAGGGAUAGAAUGUAUUUUAUUGGAAGUUAAUUACUUGUGUUUGACUUUACUGUGUGCCAAUAGUUCUUUCUGUCCUCAAUUUGCAGAUGAGACAACUGAACAGUGGACCAUUCCUAAAAUCAUCUAAUAAAGAGUUUAAGCUGAAUCUGGACAUCCUAACUGGUCUGAAUUGCUGCCAAUCAAGGUGCCCAGGAAGACUUCCGGAAAUGUCAUUCCAGGAGAUGUCACAGUGGGUGAUGCCAUAUGUGAGCAGGCAAGAGUUAAGUCAACAAAGUUGGUGAAGACAUGCUAAGGGAUCAGUGGUUCAUGACAGGCUGAAGAGGAUGUGAAUGAUUUGGUAGAUUAUUUUUUCAUUUUUAUAUUUAAACAUGUUACAUACCAAGAUCAGUGGGAGUUGCUCAAAUGUUUCAUUCUAAAAGUCUUGUGAAUUAGGCAUUUUAGACAAAUUUGCAAUGCAAAAACCAUGUUUGGAAUAAGUAUUCUUGCAAGCAUAGGGAAAGCUAGAAGGAAAGCCAAGGCCAUGUUCCAGAUUUCCAAUUCCCUAUUUUGGGUGCUUUUUAUAAAGUCUACGAAUGUACCAGAAAAGACAAUAGAAAUUCUGAUUAUACUGUGACAAAAUAAAGGCACAAGUUCUUUUCA
This 1058-nucleotide long non-coding RNA is filed under the name Oryctolagus cuniculus (rabbit). RNAcentral describes it as "lncRNA (ENSOCUG00000036636.1)". The record is from RNAcentral. Lineage: Eukaryota; Metazoa; Chordata; Mammalia; Lagomorpha; Leporidae.